This 331-nucleotide ribosomal RNA is filed under the name uncultured Mollicutes bacterium. Its description in RNAcentral is "bacterial SSU rRNA". It matches the Rfam family "Bacterial small subunit ribosomal RNA", at positions 1051 to 1382 of the family's 1533-position model. The record is from RNAcentral. Lineage: Bacteria; Bacillati; Mycoplasmatota; Mollicutes.
GUCGUCAGCUCGUGCCGUGAGGUGUUGGGUUAAGGUCCCGCCAACGAGCGCAACCCCUACUUGCAGUUACUAACAUUGAGUUGAGGACUCUAGUGAGACUGCCAGUGACAAACUGGAGAAGGUGGGGAUGACGUCAAAUCAUCAUGCCCUUUAUGACCUGGGCUACAAACGUACUACAAUGGCCAAUACAAAGAGAUGCGAAGUCGCGAGAUGGAGCGAACCUCAAAAAAAUGGUCUCAGUUCAGAUUGAAGUCUGCAACUCGACUUCAUGAAGGCGGAAUCGCUAGUAAUCGCGGGUCAGCAGACCGCGGUGAAUACGUUCCCGGGUUUU